UACAGAGGGGGCAAGCGUUAUUCGGAAUUAUUGGGCGUAAAGGGCGCGUAGGCGGCUUGGCAAGUGGAUGGUGAAAUCCCUCGGCUUAACCGAGGAACUGCCGUCCAAACUGCUUCGCUUGAGACCGGGAGAGGUGAGUGGAAUUCCCAGUGUAGCGGUGAAAUGCGUAGAUAUCGCUUGGAACGCCAAUGGUGAAAACAGCUCGCUGGGGGUGUGCUGACGCUGAGACACGAAAGCCAGGGGAGCGAACGGG
This 253-nucleotide ribosomal RNA is filed under the name uncultured bacterium. Its description in RNAcentral is "partial 16S ribosomal RNA". It matches the Rfam family "Bacterial small subunit ribosomal RNA", at positions 524 to 776 of the family's 1533-position model. The record is from RNAcentral.